GGAUUAGAUACCCUGGUAGUCCACGCCGUAAACGAUGGAUACUUGGUGUUGGAGGUAUUGACCCCUUCAGUGCCGUAGCUAACGCGUUAAGUAUCCCGCCUGAGGAGUACGGUCGCAAGAUUAAAACUCAAAGAAAUUGACGGGGGCCCGCACAAGCGGUGGAGCAUGUGGUUUAAUUCGAUGCAACGCGAAAAACCUUACCUGGGUUUGACAUGUACUGGAAGUACUCAGAGAUGAGUGCGCCUUCGGGCCGGUACACAGGUGCUGCAUGGCUGUCGUCAGCUCGUGCCG
RNAcentral lists this ribosomal RNA (291 nucleotides) under uncultured bacterium. Its description in RNAcentral is "partial 16S ribosomal RNA". It matches the Rfam family "Bacterial small subunit ribosomal RNA", at positions 775 to 1067 of the family's 1533-position model. The record is from RNAcentral.